CCCCCCCACCCCCCGCCCGGGUGUUUGGCUCGGGCAGCGGGGCCAGGUUACUUUGCUGUCCUAUGGAGGACAGACUGAAAGCGGAAAGGCUGAAGCUGGAAGACAGGUGAGGAGGUCACUGAAAUAAACCAGACUCUCAGACACAGCCCAGUGGCCACAGAUGGCAGAAGGCAAAGAAGAUCCCUGGGGCUUCUAAACACUUCCCCAGAAACUGGCAGCAGGCAGUAACUCCGGCCAAGUCAGGGGCCAGCUUGACCAGACACUCAUCAAAGUGUGAGACUCCCCGCGUGGAGCUGAGGGACCCAGCUCUGUCCAAGAACCAUCAAGAACCAAAGGCGCUGGCUCCAAGUCAAGUUGAACAGGGAAAGCAAAACCCUUUCCUUUUC
Molecule: long non-coding RNA, 386 nt
Organism: Herpailurus yagouaroundi (jaguarundi)
Lineage: Eukaryota; Metazoa; Chordata; Mammalia; Carnivora; Felidae
Exons: 3
Source: RefSeq, a predicted model, not a curated record